RNAcentral lists this ribosomal RNA (960 nucleotides) under Triticum aestivum (bread wheat). RNAcentral describes it as "partial small subunit ribosomal RNA". The record is from RNAcentral. Lineage: Eukaryota; Viridiplantae; Streptophyta; Magnoliopsida; Poales; Poaceae.
AUGAAGUUCUCCGGCCCCCGGUGCGGCUCCGGCGAGCCCAAGCGCAAACGCAAUCCCUCCUCCGUGCGGCGCUCCCUGGAGUACCCAUGCGUUUCGCGGCUCCGUCGCCGCCUCCUCCUCGCCUUCCUCUCGCGCCACGGCUUCAGCUCCACCUUCCAAGCGCUGCUGCAGGAGACGACCGUGUUCUUCAGAGUGGAGCACCUGCAGCGCCUCGCGAGGCAGGGCCAGUGGGACGACGCCAUCAAGUACGUCGUCCGCUUCGUGCCCAAGGUCGACGCGAUGCUCGGCGAGGAGGGAAGGCUCCUCUUCAGCUUCAUCAAUCUGCACAGAACCAUCCACUCCAUCUCCAUCGGCACGCCGCACGGCGCCAUUAUGACUGAGUUUUACGAGCGCGACCUCAGCGAGUUUCCUAACGCCCCCUCCGGCGCCGUCAGGCGCGUCCGCUUGCUCUCGGCCUUGCACCGCAACGAGAAGCUCAGGGCCGCCAUCGACUGGCAACUCGUGAGGAACAGGGCUGCGGAGAUUGCCAAGGAUUUGAUCGCCAAGACCCCCGAGUUCAAUGACCUGCUGCGGUUGCCCAACUGCCGAGAUAAGCCACACAACAUUCUCCCCAUCCGGCCCUGCAGCAGUUCUCAUCGGAGGCGUCACAAGAAGGAAGGAGGACGAAUUGCAGCUUCCGAUCUUACCAAAUUCUACCUCCGGAAGAAGAGGAGUUCCAGCCUGCUGCUAUCUUCAAGUCACUUUGAGCUGGGGACUUCUUCAGGCACUCCAUGUUUACCAGCGUCAGGGUUAUCAUGCAAGGCAUCAGCCUUGCUGGCAGAUAUUCUCGAUGAAUCUGUCAAAGCUGGUCUGUGCCGGACUGCCGGGUCGUUCAAGAUGGGCAUCCUUUUGAACAUUCCUGCAAUGAAGCAAACCGAAAACGCAAGCGAGAGUCAUCGGCAUCUUGUAACCUUCGCGUGA